AAUGAGAAGGAAGUAGA
Molecule: small RNA, 17 nt
Filed under: Arabidopsis thaliana (thale cress)
Lineage: Eukaryota; Viridiplantae; Streptophyta; Magnoliopsida; Brassicales; Brassicaceae
Description: ATSL152610
Source: RNAcentral